Molecule: ribosomal RNA, 348 nt
Filed under: uncultured bacterium
Lineage: Bacteria
Description: partial 16S ribosomal RNA
Rfam family: Bacterial small subunit ribosomal RNA
Source: RNAcentral
CCUACGGGUGGCAGCAGUGAGGAAUAUUGGUCAAUGGACGAGAGUCUGAACCAGCCAAGUAGCGUGAAGGAUGACUGCCCUAUGGGUUGUAAACUUCUUUUAUAGGGGAAGAAAACAGGGUAUGCAUACCCUCUUGUAUGUACCAUAUGAAUAAGGAUCGGCUAACUCCGUGCCAGCAGCCGCGGUAAUACGGAGGAUCCGAGCGUUAUCCGGCUUUAUUGGGUUUCAAGGGAGCGUAGGUGGCUUGUUAAGUCAGUUGUGAAAGUUUGCGGCUCAACCGUAAAAUUGCAGUUGAAACUGGCAGUCUUGUGUACAGUAGCGGUGGGCGGACUUCGUGGUGUAGCGGUG